RNAcentral lists this ribosomal RNA (443 nucleotides) under uncultured bacterium. Its description in RNAcentral is "partial 16S ribosomal RNA". It matches the Rfam family "Bacterial small subunit ribosomal RNA", at positions 338 to 795 of the family's 1533-position model. The record is from RNAcentral.
CCUACGGGAGGCAGCAGUAGGGAAUAUUCGGCAAUGGGCGAAAGCCUGACCGAGCAACGCCGCGUGAGUGAAGAAGGCUUUCGGGUUGUAAACUUCUUUUCUCAGGGACGAAGAAAGUUACGGUACCUGAGGAAUGAGCCACGGUUAACUACGUACCAGCCGCCGCGGAAAUACGUAGGUGGCAAGCGUUAUCCGGAUUUACUGGGUGUAAGGGGCGAGUAGGCGGGAAAGAAAGUCUGAUGUGAAAACCAUGGGCUCAACCGGUGAACUGCAUUUGAAACUGGUUUGCUUGAGUACGGGAGAGGCAGAUGGAAUUCCGAGUGUAGCGGUGAAAUGCGUAGAGAUAAGGAGGAACACCAGUGGCGAAGGCGGUUUGCUGGACAGCAACUGACGCUGAGGUGCGAAAGCGUGGGGAGCAAACAGGAUUAGAUACCCGUGUAGUC